UCCGAGUUGUAAUUUGUAGAGAGUGCUUCGGGCGAGACAACGGUCUAAGUUCAUUGGAACAUGGCGUCAUAGAGGGUGAGAAUCCCGUAUGCGACCGUGGCUCGAGCCCAUGUGAAGCCUCUUCGACGAGUCGAGUUGUUUGGGAAUGCAGCUCAAAAUGGGUGGUAAAUUUCAUCUAAAGCUAAAUACUGGCUGGAGACCGAUAGCGCACAAGUAGAGUGAUCGAAAGAUGAAAAGCACUUUGGAAAGAGAGUCAAACAGUACGUGAAAUUGUUGAAAGGGAAGCGCUUGCAACCAGACCUGCCCGCAGGCGAUCAACCGCUGUUCUCAGCGGUGCACUCGCGCUGCGAUCAGGCCAGCAUCGGUUUCGGUGGCCGGAUAAAGGCCUUGGGAAUGUAGCUUCCUUUCGGGGGAGUCUUAUAGCCCUCGGUGCAAUGCGGCCAACCGGGACCGAGGACCGCGCUUCGGCUAGGAUGCUGGCGUAAUGGUUGUAAGCGACCCGUCUUGAAACACGGACCAAGGAGUGUAACAUCUAUGCGAGUGUUUGGGUGUCAAACCCAUACGCGGAAUGAAAGUGAACGGAGGUGAGAACCCUUUAGGGCGCAUCAUCGACCGAUCCUGAUGUCUUCGGAUGGAUUUGAGUAUGAGCAUAGCUGUUGCGACCCGAAAGAUGAUGAUCUAUACCUGAAUAGGGUGAAGCCAGAGGAAACUYUGGUGGAGG
RNAcentral lists this ribosomal RNA (721 nucleotides) under Nipponoparmelia laevior. RNAcentral's name for it is "eukaryotic LSU rRNA". It matches the Rfam family "Eukaryotic large subunit ribosomal RNA", at positions 137 to 873 of the family's 3401-position model. The record is from RNAcentral. Lineage: Eukaryota; Fungi; Ascomycota; Lecanoromycetes; Lecanorales; Parmeliaceae.